CUGAACUGUCAACAUGAGUUGUUGCUGGUCCUCAGUGGGGACAUGUGCACGCUCUGUUAACACAUCCACUCACACCUGUGCACCCUCUGUAGUUCUUAUGGUGUGGGGACCCCGUCCCCCUGCCAUGGUUCUACGUAUUUACAUACACACUGUGACAAAGUCUUAUGGAAUGUACACCGCGUUUAACGCAAUACAAUA
This 198-nucleotide unclassified non-coding RNA is filed under the name uncultured Tomentella. RNAcentral describes it as "sequence contains ITS1". The record is from RNAcentral. Lineage: Eukaryota; Fungi; Basidiomycota; Agaricomycetes; Thelephorales; Thelephoraceae.